This 253-nucleotide ribosomal RNA is filed under the name uncultured bacterium. RNAcentral describes it as "partial 16S ribosomal RNA". It matches the Rfam family "Bacterial small subunit ribosomal RNA", at positions 524 to 776 of the family's 1533-position model. The record is from RNAcentral.
CACGGAGGGUGCAAGCGUUAUUCGGAAUCACUGGGCGUAAAGCGCGCGUAGGCGGUCUCUUAAGUCAGAUGUGAAAGCCCGGGGCUUAACCCCGGAAGUGCAUUUGAAACUAAGAGACUUGAGUAUGGGAGAGGGAAGUGGAAUUCCUGGUGUAGCGGUGAAAUGCGUAGAGAUCAGGAGGAACACCGGUGGCGAUGGCGACUUCCUGGACCAAUACUGACGAUGAGGCGCGAAGGCGUGGGGAGCAAACAGG